RNAcentral lists this ribosomal RNA (768 nucleotides) under Limnonectes ibanorum (rough-backed river frog). RNAcentral describes it as "partial 16S ribosomal RNA". It matches the Rfam family "Bacterial large subunit ribosomal RNA", at positions 1495 to 2529 of the family's 2925-position model. The record is from RNAcentral. Lineage: Eukaryota; Metazoa; Chordata; Amphibia; Anura; Dicroglossidae.
UACCUGAAAAUACCCUAAACCCUUUAUCACUACUAAGUAAUUUUAUAAUUUUAUAAAAGCCUUUAUGCUAAAACUAGUAACAAGAAGUAGAACUUCUCCUAAAUAUAAGUGUACGCCAAAAUGGACUAGCCAUUGGCAAUUAACGUUAAUGAGCUCACUAUAGUAACACACCCAAGAAAACACUAUUACUACACACGUUAAUCUUACACAAGCAUAUUUCAAGAAAGAUUAAAAGGAGAGGAAGGAACUCGGCAAACUUCAACCCCGCCUGUUUACCAAAAACACCGCCUCUUGUCAAAAAAUAAGAGGUCCAGCCUGCCCAGUGACACACUUAAACGGCCGCGGUACCCUGACCGUGCAAAGGUAGCAUAAUCAUUUGUUCUUUAAAUAAGGACUUGUAUCAACGGCAUCACGAGGGUUGUACUGUCUCCCCCCCCUAAUCAGUGAAACUGACCUCCCCGUGAAGAGGCGGGGAUCAAUCUACAAGACGAGAAGACCCCAUGGAGCUUUAAACCCAAUAAUAACUCUCUCUAAGUACCCCUUAAAGACAUGGAGGGCCUAUAUAUUGGUUUUAGGUUGGGGUGACCGUGGAGUAUAACAAAACCUCCUCGACGAAUAGGAACCCUCCUAAUCUAAGAGCCACUGCUCUAAGAAUCAAGAACUUGACGUAAAAUGAUCCAACAACCGAUCAACGAACCAAGUUACCCUGGGGAUAACAGCGCAAUCCAUUUCAAGAGCCCCUAUCGACAAAUGGGUUUACGACCUCGA